RNAcentral lists this transfer RNA (71 nucleotides) under Rhodothalassium salexigens DSM 2132. It matches the Rfam family "tRNA". From Rfam's summary of the family: Transfer RNA (tRNA) molecules are approximately 80 nucleotides in length. Their secondary structure includes four short double-helical elements and three loops (D, anti-codon, and T loops). The record is from Rfam by way of RNAcentral. Lineage: Bacteria; Pseudomonadati; Pseudomonadota; Alphaproteobacteria; Rhodothalassiales; Rhodothalassiaceae.
GGCGCGGUGGCGGAGUGGUUACGCAGAGGACUGCAAAUCCUUGUACACGGGUUCGAAUCCCGUCCGCGCCU